Long non-coding RNA from Bos taurus (domestic cattle), 2261 nucleotides. The record is from Ensembl. NCBI's taxonomy places the organism in Eukaryota, Metazoa, Chordata, Mammalia, Artiodactyla, Bovidae.
AGAGGAGAACAGAAGAGGCGACAGGAGUGUGGAUGUCCUGGGGAGACCCCCAGCCGUGGCCGUGCUGCAAAGCCGGCGGUAACUAGAUCGCUGGCUCUUCACCACUCAGAGCUUGCUUUGAGGAUCGGCGAUAUUGGAGAUCACACCUUCCCAGCCAGCUCCUUUGAGGGCCUGAUAGUCUUUCUUCCCCGCCUUUCUGAGAAGCAGUCUACUGGGAAGAACAGGCUUGCGGGCUGGGUGAAUGGGCAGAGUGGACACAGGCUUCUCUCUGGAGACUGGGGCGGGGGUGCACCUCUCCCCUUCGCAGACACGUCCGAGGACUGCUGCUGCAGAAAGAAGAGGCAGUACCCAGGGACAAACCACGUGCAAGGCCCCCAGCCCUAGGAGGGGCUGAGAGACCCUCAGGGCCUAUGCUUUGGUACAGACGUGUCACUAGCUAUGGCACCGGAAUCUGGCCGGGCUGUUUCCCGGCUGGAAGCUUUCCAUGGCUCCCCACUGCCUGCGGGGACAAAGUCCAGACUCUGUGGCCCGUGUGUAAGGCCCUCUGCCCAGGGUCUCAACUGUCCCCUCCAGCUCCUCCUCUGUGCUUCCCUCUAUUUGACCUCUGCCUCCUUCACCCAGCCAUCUCCCGCUCACAGGCUUUGACCCAGCAGGGGCUGGAUCUCUUGGGCAACUUGUCCCUGCCCCCAACUCCAGUCUAGAUGGGUUAGGGGCUGCCUCUGCGAGCUCACCAGGCGCAUCUCUCCUGGGACCCUUACCUACAUCGCCUGGUUACUGCCUGGUCUCUUGAUCAUCACCCAGCCAGGGAUAGCAACUGUGGGCUUGGCGUAUCUGAAAGAACGUUCGGUAAAGGAAGAAAUGAGCAAAGCAUGUCCAUCUUAGAACAUCCAUACAAAGCAGAAAAGUGUAAUGGAGAAAGCAAAGUUUCUUCUUCAGUGGAAGUUCCAGUCACUCAGAGGGAACCGUGGCUGGAAUCUCCUCUUGGUCAUCUCCCUCUCCUGGGCAUCACCUGGGCUUCUGAUGAAGCUUCCCAAGUGUGGGCACCUCUUUGAUCUGUGCAGCUCCCUACGUAAGCUACCUCUCUACUUGUCUCUUGACCUAUGAGCGCUGAAGAAUUGAUGCUUUUGAACUGUGGUGUUGGAGAAGACUCUUGAGAGUCCCUUGGACUGCAAGGAGAUCCAACCAAUCCAUUCUAAAGAUCAGUCCUGGGUGUUCUUUGGAAGGAAUGAUGCUAAAACUGAAACUCCAAUACUUUGGCCACCUCAUUCGAAGAGUUGACUCAUUGGAAAAGACUCUGAUGCUGGGAGGGAUUGGGGGCAGGAGGAUAAGGGGACGACAGAGGGUGAGAUGGCUGGAUGGCAUCACCGAUUCGACGGAUGUGAGUUUGAGUGAACUCCAGGAGUUGGUGAUGGACAGGGAGGCCUGGUGUGUUGCAAUUCACGGGGUCCCAAAGAGUCAGACACGACUGAGCGACUGAACUGAACUGAUGAUCUUAUUUGACCAAGUAUUUUGAAACUUUUGGACAACUGUUCCAAAUAUCAAAGUUUAAUUAUAUUUCUUUUAACUUCCAGCUGACUUUGGGAUGCUUUAGAGGACCCCUGAGGCAUCUCAGAGAGGAAUAUUUAACUUGUAUUAUUUGGCAUGGUGAAUUACAUAGGGAAACAUUGUCAAAUGAAUGAUAAAUCUCAGAUUAUAUGCCAUGGAUAAAUUCUACUAUAGAUAUUCUAGAAAUUACAUAAAGUUUCUGAAAUACGGAUAUGUCAUGGUAUAAUCUGUCAGCCAUAAUUCUGGUUAAAUCACAGGUUCUUGAUUAAGCUUCUUUGUCAACAUUGUGAUCUUUAAUUUGCCUUUUGAAGUCUUUGUGCGUGCGUGCAUGCUAAGUUGCUUUAGUCGUAUCCGACUCUGCAAACCUAUGGACUGUAGCCUGCCAGGCUCCUCUGUCCAUGGGAUUCUCCAGGCAAGAAUUACUGCAGAGGGUUGCCAUUCCCUUCUCCAGGGUUUCUUCCCAACCCACGGAUGGAACCCAUGUCUGUUAGUCUCCUGCGUUGGCAGGUGGUUUCUUUACCACCUGGGAAGCCCUUUUAAGUCUUUAAUAGACAGUUAGUCUGAUGCUUUGCAAAAAUACUUCAUCUUUAAGAAGUUUCAUAGGAAGGACUUUUUGUCAAGUACAGGUCUCUAAUAAAUUGCAGACUAUACCAUUGAACUGGGUAAGAAAUUUAAAUUCCUAAUGGAAAACCUAAUGGCUUCAAUAAAAUGUUGAC